Long non-coding RNA from Puntigrus tetrazona (Sumatra barb), 1216 nucleotides. RefSeq lists it as uncharacterized. NCBI's taxonomy places the organism in Eukaryota, Metazoa, Chordata, Actinopteri, Cypriniformes, Cyprinidae. The record is from RefSeq and is a predicted model, not a curated record. The transcript is spliced from 2 exons.
CAUUAUACUCUACAGCAGUUAGACGUUAUGAAGGUCUUUAUAUAAACAAUUAUUGUCCCGAAUUAUCCAUAGAUCUAUAAAACUAGUUUUAUUAAUGUUGUGAUCCAUAGUGAAUGUUAAAGUUGAUCAGGUACUGACAGCUUUAUACACAAAUAAUAUCAUUUCUAAAUUAUGAUGAUGUUACAACAGAACUGUUCUGUUUGUCAAAUUUCACGUUUUGAUCAGAUUAGAUGGAAUAAUAUCCUGAGGAUAUUUUUAGAUGACCAUUUUAUUACAUGUGGCCAAAUCAAUAGGUUAAAACCCGAACCAGGUAGAAGAAGGUAAUGAAACAGAGACAUAGAGUGCUCUAGACCUGCUGUAAUAACUGGUCAAAGGCGGUUGGAUCCAUGUGCGACAGGGUUUAAUCGUGGUCAGGCAGGCAGGGUCAAUAAAGGAAUAAACAGGGCAAUACAGGAGAUCCAGAAGACGAAACGAUAACAGGCAAUAGGUCGAUAGGUAGGCAGAGAACAAUCACAGAAACGAACACGGUCAGGGUCGGCAACAGAUAAUCAAAACAAGAGUAAACGCCGGAAUUGCAGUAUACACAAACAACACUUCGCAAAGUGUGAUCGUGGGGAAGUUCCUUAUAAAGGCUGAGUCUAACGAGAAACACCUGGUGGCUCUAAUCAGCCCAAGGCACGGGGUUGUGGGAAAUUGAGUCUUUGGCGAUCAGUAUUCCGGUGAGAGCUCCCUCCGGUGGUGGUCGGAGAGAGCCACAGAGGUGCUGUUCAUGACACCUGCAGUCUUCUGUUUGUGUUCGAUCUGUCUACAAGUUUGUCUCAGAGUACAUGCAGAUUCAGUGAACCAGGUAGAGAUACAGACAUAUGAUUUUCAAGAUUUCUUUAAGAGGAAAUAGAAUUCAUGAUGUCAGCACAAAUAGAAAUAAACCAAUUAAGAUGUGCAUCAGUGUCUAGAUUAGAGUUAAACUCCAAUGAGUUACAGACUUCAAGACAGACUACAGAAAAUUCUUCAUAAGAAGACUAAGAGCUGAGUCAAACAUUCAGCGGUGGAUUUCUGAGGAUUCAGCUGAAAGAGGAACAGUAUAAAGAACUGACAGAAAAAACAUGCUCUACUGAUUUCAGUGUUUGAAAUAGAAAAAAACAGGGAUUAAAAGCAAAAAUCAAAUCUAGGGUAUGACUAUAGAUGUGUGUUGGACCAGAAAAUAAAAAGUAAAAAG